This 3396-nucleotide long non-coding RNA is filed under the name Homo sapiens (human). Its description in RNAcentral is "HSALNT0187545". The record is from RNAcentral. Lineage: Eukaryota; Metazoa; Chordata; Mammalia; Primates; Hominidae.
GAUUUCUAAAAUUGGAAUUAUGGGUGUGAAAAACAUUUUUAAAGCUAUUGAUAAUGUAGUAGUUGUACUCUAUUUGCUUAUUACAGGUCAAGUGACUUCUGUGUUCCAUGGCCACAGCUGACUAGCAAAGAAACUCAAGAGCAGUUAUAAAAACAGAAGACGAUGACAACUCAGAAGAAACAGCUGCCGAUACUCAAAUCAAUUGGCACACAUAUAGAGAAAAAGCCUGCCAAAUGAAACCAGCUUUGAGCUAUAGCUUUUGUGUAAGUUCACAUCGUUCACACGCAUGCUUUCCAGGCUCCUCAUCCUGUAAAUGUAUAUCUAACACAGCAAUGCAAAAUUGUGCUGAUGCAUACAAUUAACUCAUUCCAAGCAUUUCUUGCACCCAUGGUAAUAUGGCAUUGUGGGAGAAAGCAAGAGGGCAAUUUUCAGUACAUCUAUUUCUCAAAAUUGUGAAAAAUGCGAACAGAUUCAACCCCAAGGACAUGUGAACAUAGCAGCAUUAGCAAUGACAGCAUCUGCAGGUGCUGUUCCACUUCAGAUCCCUAGUAUUCCAUCAUCUCAGACAGCUCAAGGGCCAAAUGGACCACAAUGGCCAAAAAUACUUAACUUCAAAAAAUGGAUUAUAAAUCUGUACCUCAAAAGCAAAGAAACUGAAGGACUCAAUUUAGGCUAGGCAGAAUGAAUGUGUCCACAAAACAUAGUAUGAAAAACUAAGAAAUUUAAUCGCCAUUAAUUAGGUCUAGAGUCUACAUGUUUGAAUUUGUUAUGUCAGGCAACAUUCCGGCAUAAUGUGUCAAAGGAAGGAGCAGAAAGACUUGACUGCGUAUGCUGAACUAAUGCUGGUUGAUUUGCUGCCUACUCAAUGUUCAUGGAUUUGAAUCACUCUAAGCACUUUGUUCAAAGUUUCAUAUUGUCAUCUACAUAAUCCUUUUACAUGAAAUAACCAAAUAAGGUUAGUUUUACAUAUUUACAAGCAUAAAUACAAGCUUGUCAGUAAGGUCUUAAGUUGUAUUGAAGAAUUGAAAAGCAUCAAGCCCUCAGACAGUUGGAAAAGUUGGAAGAAACCACAGACACCUCAGACAUCUAGCACCUCUCUUCACCCCCACAAGUAAGGAUGGUGAGAAUCAGAAAGCAUUGCUUCAUAGUGGACACGCGAAUUCAGUACAUUCUAAAUCCUAAAUUCCCUACUAUAAGAAGCUGUGUGCAUGGUGGCAGGUCUCACUGCUGACAGUGUUGUGCAUGGAAGUGGACAUCUCACCAGGUCCUUCAUGUGCAGGACAGUCUUAUGACCAUGCACUCCUGUCCCGUAGGUACCCUAGUUGGGAUCACAGAUGCUCCAGGGACUGUCCCUGCUGCCCACUCUUCACCUAUUUCUGUGAAGGGUUACCCUCAAGAACCACUAAGUUUCUUGUUAGUGGUGGAUUGGACAAAGCUUUUUAAAAAACAUUUUGAAAAACCUGUGGUUUUAUUACUUAUUACUCUGGAAAUUUGGUCAAUGCAACACGCUUACACUUGAAAAUAUAUACAUGCCUGCCAAUACUCAAAAUGCUGGGUCUAACAUUAACAUCCAAUUAAAAACACAAUCUUAAAACUUUAACUCAAUAACAAAAAGAAAAGAGUAAGUAAAUUCACCAACACUAGGAACUUGAGAAGUGUACGGAUUUAUCUAGCCUACCCCAAUGCUCUGGGUAACUACAUCCCAAGUACACGGAUGCCACACACUUCAGACCCAUUCACUCACAGCCUUUUUCUGGAUUCUAAGAUAAUGGUAAUUAAAGCAACAUGAACACAUAAUCAUACAUGAGGCUUUCAAAUUACCUAUUUUCCUCCCAAACCUUAUAUUGCUUAUGAAAGACUGACAUUUAUGGGUGAAAAAAAUUAUCCCAAUACUAUUACAUUGGCUUGAAAAUUUUUAGAUUAUGCUAAGGAAAUUUUCAGGCAGACAUAUAUCUACUAUUAUUAAAAGAUGCUUCUUAGAGCUAGUAUGUAGCUAAACUAAUUUUGUACCUUAAGAAAAAAACUUUUAAAAAGUAAUAAUAAUGAUGUACAAACACCAGUAAGCACAAAAGAGGGUAAGAUUUUAAAGUCAACUACAAUUAACACCAAGAACUCACAACUGUCUGGCCUAAAAACCUGUUCUUGAAGUAAGAACAUGAGUCCUUGACUAAUAUGAGGUUAUCUAAUUUUACAUUAUCAUUUUAAAAAGAAAAUGAAACAAUUAGGGCCUAUUAGCAAUAACCUUUUCUAACUCUCUGGGCAGCCACUGGCACAAAUGUCCAAGAUGACAGCAGCACAGCACAAUCAGAAAGACUGAACCUGCAUGAGCCAAGGCUUUCCUUGCAACCUUUCCUCUAUCAAGUAAAAAUGGCAGACCCAGUUAGACUCACAGAGCACUGGCCCUAUGGUUUCAAUGAUAAAAAAACAAAAAAAACUUACACAAAAGAAGUAUCCAGACUAUAGACAGCACUCUUUUUGUUUUUUCACAUUUAUAUUUUAGGGCACAGUUUUGGGGAAGGGGAUACAAUGCUGCCUUACAAAGGACAUAGAAGUCCCUUGUUUGAGCUACCAACCUCUUAGCCACACAGAAAAAUGUCAGUCAUCCAUUUGUUAGGACCCAAAUCUCCUUCUACUGCUCACAAUAUGCAACACACAUUUUAAGGGGCUGUUGAAAUAGAAAAACAAAGGAAGCCCUUGAAAUAGAAGCUGAUCUUCCUUGUCUUGCCCUUCCUUUACCACGGUGCCUGCAUGCAUGCCUUAAAGCACUGCCACAUUGUUUCCACAUGCUCAGGCCCUUGAAACUUGUGCCAAAGCAUUGCAAAAUAAAACUGCAUAAACAUCACAUUUCAAAACAUCAGCUAGUAAUGGUGGGUCAGUCAUGUGGGCCAGAAUAAUCAUUAAUUAAAUCAUAACCUACAAACGUCCCUGACCCGAGUUAUUUUUUCAAAUAAUAAGGACAGGCAUUGAACACGUUUGGGGCCAUGGGCGUAUUUCAGAAAGAAUACCAGUGUAAUUCAUUCUGAAAAACCAUUAAAAAUGACUGUCCUUUUGCCACUUUCAGGAGUCAUAAAACAAUUUCACAAGCAGAAAACAGUUUAAAAGAUUAAAUUUUUUUUCAUUUUCCAAAAUCAACAUGUAAUUGCAUAGGCAUUAUUGAACUGCAUAAAAUCAAUACAAGAGAAGUGUAUGACGCUGGAGGUUUCUUUAAAAAGAGCUUAGAGCUCACUUUCCUUGGACCACAUGGAGAUAAUGCCCCCACACAAACGUACUACAAACUGGAUACAUAUUACUAGGGUUACUUACCUUAUAAAAGCUGAAUUUAUUCCUCUUGGCCAGAAGUCACAAAUGGUUGAAGUAAAACUCCCUUCAUUUGUUCUUCCAGCGAGCCAAAGCAAG